Molecule: ribosomal RNA, 466 nt
Filed under: uncultured bacterium
Lineage: Bacteria
Description: bacterial SSU rRNA
Rfam family: Bacterial small subunit ribosomal RNA
Source: RNAcentral
GUACGGGAGGCAGCAGUAAGGAAUCUUCCGCAAUGGACGAAAGUCCGACGGAGCAACGCCGCGUGAGUGAAGAAGGCCUUCGGGUCGUAAAGCUCUGUUAUUCAGGAAGAACGUUCUCUAUGUAAAUAAUGUAGAGAAGUGACGGUACUGAAGGAGGAAGCCACGGCUAACUACGUGCCAGCAGCCGCGGUAAUACGUAGGUGGCGAGCGUUGUCCGGAAUUAUUGGGCGUAAAGAGCGCGUAGGCGGGAAGAGAAGUCUAUCUUAAAAGUGCGGGGCUCACCCCCGUGAUGGGGUAGAAACUCUCUUUCUUGAGUGCCGGAGAGGAAAGCGGGAUUCCCAGUGUAGCGGUGAAAUGCGUAGAUAUUGGGAGGAACACCAGUGGCGAAGGCGGCUUUCUGGACGGUGUCUGACGCUGAGGCGCGAAAGCCAGGGGAGCGAACGGGAUUAGAUACCCCAGUAGUCCC